GAUCAUUUGAUGAGAAAAAGAAAACUGCAACAAUAAGAUUGGAUAUGUCAUAUACUCCAUGAUUACUUGUAUUUAAGUCUCUGAUGAUC
Molecule: small nucleolar RNA, 89 nt
Organism: Hibiscus syriacus
Lineage: Eukaryota; Viridiplantae; Streptophyta; Magnoliopsida; Malvales; Malvaceae
Product: small nucleolar RNA Z199
Exons: 1
Source: RefSeq, a predicted model, not a curated record